Long non-coding RNA from Solea senegalensis (Senegalese sole), 737 nucleotides. RefSeq lists it as uncharacterized. The record is from RefSeq and is a predicted model, not a curated record. The transcript has 2 exons. Lineage: Eukaryota; Metazoa; Chordata; Actinopteri; Pleuronectiformes; Soleidae.
UUGAAUACGAAAGAUAACAUCAGACACUUGACAGGAAAUGACCCAGUUACACUCACUGAUUAAGAUUAAAUGGAAUCACCAUGGUUCAUUUCCGCCGGCACAUGCAUUAGGACACAUGCCGCAGGGGUCAGAGUUCACCUCAGUGUGGGAAACAAAGGUCCAGUGUUUCCUGACUUUUCCACAACCCACUGAACUCCACAAAGCAGUCAAUGUGGUGCUGAAGACAGAGAGGCUGUUGCAGACAAAAGCUAUGCUUAACUUUUUUUUUUUUUGAAAAACUAAUAUUGGUAAAAUUCACUGUUUCAUGAUGUUGUUUUAUCCAAGUUUCAUUAUUUAAAAUAAAACAAUUAAUUUUAAUUAAAUGGAUGAUGGUAUGGAACAUGACAUUCAUUAGAUUUUAAUUGAUAAUUAAAACACUGGAAUAAUAUAUAAACAAAAGAUACAUGAUAACUCCAUAAAUAAAUUCUACUAAAAUUGGUGAUUAUUACAGUAAGACUGGCUGAAAUUUUUUUUCUUGCUAUAAAAAUCAUUUACUCUUUUCAUCAUUUGUUUGUUUCAUUUUGCUGUUGUGCAAGUAUUUUAAUCUAUUGUUGUUCUGUCUUGUUUUAAUGAGGUAACUGAGUACAUAAAUGAAUAACAUAUCAAUAUUCUUUUUUUCCCCUUAUUCUAAUGGUGACUGCAGUAAAUCCACAUGUUUGACUCAAUCUAUAUUGAUUUUUGUUGCCAUUAACAUCAAU